RNAcentral lists this non-coding RNA (30 nucleotides) under Homo sapiens (human). Lineage: Eukaryota; Metazoa; Chordata; Mammalia; Primates; Hominidae. The record is from RNAcentral.
UCAGUCAGAAUCCCUCAGGGCCACAGAGAA